This is a long non-coding RNA of Ipomoea nil (Japanese morning glory), 134 nucleotides long. RefSeq lists it as uncharacterized. The record is from RefSeq and is a predicted model, not a curated record. Lineage: Eukaryota; Viridiplantae; Streptophyta; Magnoliopsida; Solanales; Convolvulaceae. The transcript is spliced from 3 exons.
GGGCGCUUAGCUGACCGACUAAAAGCCGCCUAGGGCUGAAAUCCCUUCAGCCUAGGGGCGCCUAGCGCCUAGGCCGAUUUUUACAACACUAAACAGAUCAAUUGGCAAUUAGGAAGUAUAUGAUUAAAGAGGUG